This 184-nucleotide ribosomal RNA is filed under the name uncultured Pseudomonas sp. RNAcentral's name for it is "partial 16S ribosomal RNA". It matches the Rfam family "Bacterial small subunit ribosomal RNA", at positions 1202 to 1382 of the family's 1533-position model. Lineage: Bacteria; Pseudomonadati; Pseudomonadota; Gammaproteobacteria; Pseudomonadales; Pseudomonadaceae. The record is from RNAcentral.
UUACGGCCUGGGCUACACACGUGCUACAAGUGGUCGGUACAAAGGGUUGCCAAGCCGCGAGGUGGAGCUAAUCCCAUAAAACCGAUCGUAGUCCGGAUCGCAGUCUGCAACUCGACUGCGUGAAGUCGGAAUCGCUAGUAAUCGUGGAAUCAGAAAUGUCACGGUGAAUACGUUCCCGGGCCUU